Molecule: ribosomal RNA, 460 nt
Filed under: uncultured bacterium
Lineage: Bacteria
Description: partial 16S ribosomal RNA
Rfam family: Bacterial small subunit ribosomal RNA
Source: RNAcentral
CCUACGGGAGGCAGCAGUGAGGAAUAUUGGUCAAUGGACGAGAGUCUGAACCAGCCAAGUAGCGUGAAGGAUGACUGCCCUAUGGGUUGUAAACUUCUUUUAUAAAGGAAUAAAACGAGGCACGUAUGCCUUUUUGCACGUACUUUAUGAAUAAGGACCGGCUAACUCCGUGCCAGCAGCCGCGGUAAUACGGAGGAUCCGAGCGUUAUCCGGAUUGAUUGGGUUUAAAGGGAGCGUAGAUGGGUUGUUAAGUCAGAUGUGAAAGUUUGCGGCUCAACCGUAAAAUUGCAAUUGAUACUGGCAGUCUUGAGUACAGUAGAGGUAGGCGGAAUUCGUGGUGUAGCGGUGAAAUGCUUAGAUAUCACGAAGAACCCCGAUUGCGAAGGCAGCUUACUAAACUGUGACUGACAUUGAUGCUCGAAAGUGUGGGUAUCAAACAGGAUUAGAUACCCUUGUAGUC